CGCUAAGGCGUUGAAGCAGUGUAUGUCAGACUUCCCAGAAAAGCCCGAACCACGUUAAUCUCUAAUUACCUGUACCCGAAACCGACACAGGUGGGUAGGUAGAGUAUACUAAGGGGCGCGAGAUAACUCUCUCUAAGGAACUCGGCAAAAUGACUCCGUAACUUCGGGAGAAGGAGUGCCUUAUUUAUAAGGUUGCAAUAACAAGAUCCAAGCAACUGUUUAUCAAAAACACAGGUCUCCGCUAAGUCGUAAGACGAUGUAUGGGGGCUGACGCCUGCCCAGUGCCAGAAGGUUAAAGAAGUUGGUUAGUGUAUGCGAAGCUGAUGACUGAAGCCCUGGUGAACGGCGGCCGUAACUAUAACGGUCCUAAGGUAGCGAAAUUCCUUGUCGGGUAAGUUCCGACCCGCACGAAAGGCGUAAUGAUUUGGAUACUGUCUCGGAGAGAGGCUCGGUGAAAUAGACUUGUCUGUGAAGAUGCGGACUACCUGCACCAGGACAGAAAGACCCUAUGAAGCUUUACUGUAACUUGAAAUUGGAAUUGGACUUUGCUUGCGCAGUAUAGGUGGGAAGCGUUGAAAAUAUUCUUGCGGGAGUAUUGGAGCUAUCAGUGAGAUACCACUCUUGUAAUGUUAGAUUUCUAACUUUGAACCAUAAUCUGGUCAAAGAACAGUUUCAGGUGGGCAGUUUGACUGGGGCGGUCGCCUCCCAAAUGGUAACGGAGGCGUACAAAGGUUUCCUCUGAACGGAUAGAAAUCGUAUCUAGAGUGUAAGGGCAUAAGGAAGCUUGACUGUGAGACCUACAAGUCGAGCAGGGACGAAAGUCGGUCCUAGUGAUCUGACGGUACUGAGUGGAAAGGCCGUCACUCAACGGAUAAAAGUUACUCUAGGAUAACAGGCUGAUCUCCCCCAAGAGUUCACAUCGACGGGGAGGUUUGGCACCUCGAUGUCGGCUCAUCGCAUCCUGGGGCGGUAGUACGUCCCAAGGGUUGGGCUGUUCGCCCAUGAAAGCGGUACGCGAGCUGGGUUCAGAACGUCGUGAGACAGUUCGGUCCAUAUCCGGUGUAGGCGCUAGAAUAUUGAGAGGAGCCUUCUUUAGUACGAGAGGACCGAGAAGGACACACCGCUGGUGUACCAGUUAUCGUGCCAACGGUAAACGCUGGGUAGCUAUGUGUGGAGUGGAUAACCGCUGAAAGCAUCUAAGUGGGAAGCCCACCUCGAGAUGAGUAUUC
Molecule: ribosomal RNA, 1229 nt
Filed under: metagenome
Description: bacterial LSU rRNA
Rfam family: Bacterial large subunit ribosomal RNA
Source: RNAcentral